Molecule: ribosomal RNA, 2556 nt
Filed under: Escherichia coli
Lineage: Bacteria; Pseudomonadati; Pseudomonadota; Gammaproteobacteria; Enterobacterales; Enterobacteriaceae
Description: partial 23S ribosomal RNA
Rfam family: Bacterial large subunit ribosomal RNA
Source: RNAcentral
GUACACAAAAAUGCACAUAUUGUGAGCUCGAUGAGUAGGGCGGGACACGUGGUAUCCUGUCUGAAUAUGGGGGGACCAUCCUCCAAGGCUAAAUACUCCUGACUGACCGAUAGUGAACCAGUACCGUGAGGGAAAGGCGAAAAGAACCCCGGCGAGGGGAGUGAAAAAGAACCUGAAACCGUGUACGUACAAGCAGUGGGAGCCUCUUUAUGGGGUGACUGCGUACCUUUUGUAUAAUGGGUCAGCGACUUAUAUUCUGUAGCAAGGUUAACCGAAUAGGGGAGCCGAAGGGAAACCGAGUCUUAACUGGGCGUUAAGUUGCAGGGUAUAGACCCGAAACCCGGUGAUCUAGCCAUGGGCAGGUUGAAGGUUGGGUAACACUAACUGGAGGACCGAACCGACUAAUGUUGAAAAAUUAGCGGAUGACUUGUGGCUGGGGGUGAAAGGCCAAUCAAACCGGGAGAUAGCUGGUUCUCCCCGAAAGCUAUUUAGGUAGCGCCUCGUGAAUUCAUCUCCGGGGGUAGAGCACUGUUUCGGCAAGGGGGUCAUCCCGACUUACCAACCCGAUGCAAACUGCGAAUACCGGAGAAUGUUAUCACGGGAGACACACGGCGGGUGCUAACGUCCGUCGUGAAGAGGGAAACAACCCAGACCGCCAGCUAAGGUCCCAAAGUCAUGGUUAAGUGGGAAACGAUGUGGGAAGGCCCAGACAGCCAGGAUGUUGGCUUAGAAGCAGCCAUCAUUUAAAGAAAGCGUAAUAGCUCACUGGUCGAGUCGGCCUGCGCGGAAGAUGUAACGGGGCUAAACCAUGCACCGAAGCUGCGGCAGCGACACUAUGUGUUGUUGGGUAGGGGAGCGUUCUGUAAGCCUGUGAAGGUGGCCUGUGAGGGUUGCUGGAGGUAUCAGAAGUGCGAAUGCUGACAUAAGUAACGAUAAAGCGGGUGAAAAGCCCGCUCGCCGGAAGACCAAGGGUUCCUGUCCAACGUUAAUCGGGGCAGGGUGAGUCGACCCCUAAGGCGAGGCCGAAAGGCGUAGUCGAUGGGAAACAGGUUAAUAUUCCUGUACUUGGUGUUACUGCGAAGGGGGGACGGAGAAGGCUAUGUUGGCCGGGCGACGGUUGUCCCGGUUUAAGCGUGUAGGCUGGUUUUCCAGGCAAAUCCGGAAAACCAAGGCUGAGGCGUGAUGACGAGGCACUACGGUGCUGAAGCGACAAAUGCCCUGCUUCCAGGAAAAGCCUCUAAGCAUCAGGUAACAUCAAAUCGUACCCCAAACCGACACAGGUGGUCAGGUAGAGAAUACCAAGGCGCUUGAGAGAACUCGGGUGAAGGAACUAGGCAAAAUGGUGCCGUAACUUCGGGAGAAGGCACGCUGAUAUGUAGGUGAAGCGACUUGCUCGUGGAGCUGAAAUCAGUCGAAGAUACCAGCUGGCUGCAACUGUUUAUUAAAAACACAGCACUGUGCAAACACGAAAGUGGACGUAUACGGUGUGACGCCUGCCCGGUGCCGGAAGGUUAAUUGAUGGGGUUAGCGGUAACGCGAAGCUCUUGAUCGAAGCCCCGGUAAACGGCGGCCGUAACUAUAACGGUCCUAAGGUAGCGAAAUUCCUUGUCGGGUAAGUUCCGACCUGCACGAAUGGCGUAAUGAUGGCCAGGCUGUCUCCACCCGAGACUCAGUGAAAUUGAACUCGCUGUGAAGAUGCAGUGUACCCGCGGCAAGACGGAAAGACCCCGUGAACCUUUACUAUAGCUUGACACUGAACAUUGAGCCUUGAUGUGUAGGAUAGGUGGGAGGCUUUGAAGUGUGGACGCCAGUCUGCAUGGAGCCGACCUUGAAAUACCACCCUUUAAUGUUUGAUGUUCUAACGUUGGCCCGUAAUCCGGGUUGCGGACAGUGUCUGGUGGGUAGUUUGACUGGGGCGGUCUCCUCCUAAAGAGUAACGGAGGAGCACGAAGGUUGGCUAAUCCUGGUCGGACAUCAGGAGGUUAGUGCAAUGGCAUAAGCCAGCUUGACUGCGAGCGUGACGGCGCGAGCAGGUGCGAAAGCAGGUCAUAGUGAUCCGGUGGUUCUGAAUGGAAGGGCCAUCGCUCAACGGAUAAAAGGUACUCCGGGGAUAACAGGCUGAUACCGCCCAAGAGUUCAUAUCGACGGCGGUGUUUGGCACCUCGAUGUCGGCUCAUCACAUCCUGGGGCUGAAGUAGGUCCCAAGGGUAUGGCUGUUCGCCAUUUAAAGUGGUACGCGAGCUGGGUUUAGAACGUCGUGAGACAGUUCGGUCCCUAUCUGCCGUGGGCGCUGGAGAACUGAGGGGGGCUGCUCCUAGUACGAGAGGACCGGAGUGGACGCAUCACUGGUGUUCGGGUUGUCAUGCCAAUGGCACUGCCCGGUAGCUAAAUGCGGAAGAGAUAAGUGCUGAAAGCAUCUAAGCACGAAACUUGCCCCGAGAUGAGUUCUCCCUGACUCCUUGAGAGUCCUGAAGGAACGUUGAAGACGACGACGUUGAUAGGCCGGGUGUGUAAGCGCAGCGAUGCGUUGAGCUAACCGGUACUAAUGAACCGUGA